Molecule: non-coding RNA, 21 nt
Filed under: Caenorhabditis elegans
Lineage: Eukaryota; Metazoa; Nematoda; Chromadorea; Rhabditida; Rhabditidae
Source: RNAcentral
UAUUCAUGGUGCAAAACUGGU